UACGUAGGGUGCGAGCGUUAAUCGGAAUUACUGGGCGUAAAGAGUGCGCAGGCGGCUUCGCAAGUCAGGCGUGAAAUCCCCGGGCUCAACCUGGGAAUGGCGUCUGAAACUGCGGGGCUAGAGUGUGGCAGAGGGAGGUGGAAUUCCACGUGUAGCGGUGAAAUGCGUAGAGAUGUGGAGGAACACCGAUGGCGAAGGCAGCCUCCUGGGUCAACACUGACGCUCAUGCACGAAAGCGUGGGGAGCAAACAGG
This 253-nucleotide ribosomal RNA is filed under the name uncultured bacterium. Its description in RNAcentral is "partial 16S ribosomal RNA". It matches the Rfam family "Bacterial small subunit ribosomal RNA", at positions 524 to 776 of the family's 1533-position model. The record is from RNAcentral.